Molecule: long non-coding RNA, 829 nt
Organism: Humulus lupulus (European hop)
Lineage: Eukaryota; Viridiplantae; Streptophyta; Magnoliopsida; Rosales; Cannabaceae
Exons: 4
Source: RefSeq, a predicted model, not a curated record
GAAAACAUAAUUUUGAUGCUUUUAAAAUUUUAAGAAACAUAUUUUCAUUUCUCUCACCUUCCUCACGCUUUUGAGCCUUCCUCCCUUAGCACAACAAUGGCGAUUUCUUCUUCAGACUUUCAAGGAGAAUUGAUGAUCUAAGCUUGGAAGAUUCUUCUCUUAAUUUCUUGGAAAAUCAAACUAGUUUGUCCAUUCUGACUUUGAGAAACUGUCGAUUGUCUGGUGAAAUUCCAAGACGAAUUGGAAGACUGGUUCAGUUGCAACAACUAUAAGUAGGCUUGUUAUCUGCAAUUCUAUGUGAUCGACUCUAGUCACAGGACUUAAGCUUUAACAAGUUGAUUGGCUCAAUACCAAACUCAUUCCAAGACUUGUCAAUGUUAACUUACCUGUGAGUAGAUAAGACUCGUCUUUAUAGUAAUGUUAUGUUCAAUAAUCUGAAACUUAAAAUCUAAGUGUAUCGUCGUAGAGUGCAUUUGGGAAAUGGUUUGCUAUAAGGCUAAACAGUGUCAAAGUUUCUGUUAAUCCUAUUCACUAUUCUGUUUGUAUUUUCAAUAUAUAUUUGUAAGAAUCAUACAAAAGUGUUUUUAACUUAGGGCACUUUAAAAUCUACUCCUUACCCUUCACAAGUGUUUUCACAGUUACUCAUUUGAUCUUUCAAGCCCUUAAUUCUAGUUCAAAAUAAAGAGAGCAAUAACUCUGUUAAAACUAAUAGAAAAACUGACUUAAUAGUCUGAAAACUUACUUAGCUGUUUGUGGACCAAUCACAACAAUUAUGUGUAUUUUUCUAAUGUAGUUUCUCAAUUAGUAACAAUGAUUAUUUUGGCUCCUG